Molecule: long non-coding RNA, 578 nt
Filed under: Homo sapiens (human)
Lineage: Eukaryota; Metazoa; Chordata; Mammalia; Primates; Hominidae
Description: non-protein coding lnc-TRMT9B-3:1
Source: RNAcentral
AUCUUUAUCCAGGCUGGUCUUGAACUCUUGAGCUCAAGUGAUCCAACCACACUGGCCUCCCACAGUGCUGGGAUUAUGAAUAUUUUUAAAUUAAUAGAAACAUCCUAGAGUCAGUGUAAGAAUUGAAAUAAGAAAUCGCAUUCUCUCAGGCAGCCUAAGAAAGGGAGUCUGGCUCUUUUGGUGUCUCCAAGCACAGAGGUGUGAUGUAGACUCAGGAAUUUUUGCAAGUCUAUUUUGAUCAUGAGAAACCUUGCCUUGGGCCGUGGACUGUGGCUCAAGCCUGUGAUCCCAGCACUUUGGAAGGUCGAGGUGGGUGGAUCUCUUUAAGCCCGGGAGUUCGAGAUCAGCCUGGCCAACAUGGCAAUACCUGUCCAAAAAAAAAAAAAAAGAAAGAAAAAGAAAAAGAAACCUUAUCCUGGUCCUUCUUUUGUUUGCUUCCUUCAGAGACUGGUUCUUCCUUUUACUGUUGCUUAAAUGAGAGUCUGGUUUUAUUUCCUGAUUUUAUCUCUAUUUGUUCUUUUCUUGGGAUUCAAUGGGCUUAGAAUCAGAGGAAACUAGGAAGUGAAUGAAAGCAAACA